Molecule: ribosomal RNA, 137 nt
Filed under: uncultured eukaryote
Lineage: Eukaryota
Description: partial 18S ribosomal RNA
Rfam family: Eukaryotic small subunit ribosomal RNA
Source: RNAcentral
UGGUGGAGUGAUUUGUCUGCUUAAUUGCGAUAACGAACGAGACCUUAACCUGCUAAAUAGCCCGUAUUGCUCUGGCAGUACGCUGGCUUCUUAGAGGGACUAUCGGCUCAAGCCGAUGGAAGUUUGAGGCAAUAACA